This 1397-nucleotide ribosomal RNA is filed under the name human oral metagenome. RNAcentral's name for it is "bacterial LSU rRNA". It matches the Rfam family "Bacterial large subunit ribosomal RNA", at positions 1515 to 2925 of the family's 2925-position model. The record is from RNAcentral.
AGUAUGUAGGGUGACUUAGUAGGUAAAUCCAUUAAGUUAUAUCUGAGGUAUGAUAUACAGUCGUAAGAUGAAUGUGCAAAUCCCACGCUGCCAAGAAAAACUUCUAGCGUUAAUAUAUGACUGCCCGUACUGUAAACCGACACAGGUGGUCAGGAUGAGAAAUCUAAGGCGGACAGGCUAACUCUCGUUAAGGAACUCUGCAAAAUGACCUCGUAACUUCGGGAGAAGAGGAGCCCUUGUGUGUGAGUAUACACGCGAUACAAAGCGCACGAGGGUCGCAGUGAAGAGGCUCAAGCAACUGUUUAACAAAAACACAGGUCUAUGCUAAGCUGUAAGGCGAUGUAUAUGGGCUGACACCUGCCCAGUGCUGGAAGGUUAAGAGGAGGAGUGAGAGCUCCGAAUUGAAGCCCCAGUGAACGGCGGCCGUAACUAUAACGGUCCUAAGGUAGCGAAAUUCCUUGUCGGGUAAGUUCCGACCUGCACGAAUGGUGUAAUGAUUUGAGCGCUGUCUUGACGGGAGGCCUGGUGAAAUUGUAUUACCGGUGAAGAUACCGGUUACCUACAGUAGGACGGAAAGACCCCAUGGAGCUUUACUGUAGCUUGGUAUUGGGUUUUGGCAUUGCAUGUAUAGGAUAGUUGGGAGACUAUGAUGGUAUGGCGCUAGCUGUAUCGGAGUCAUCGGUGGAAUACCAACCAUUCAAUGCUGAAAUUCUAAUCUGUGGUUUGUAGCCACGGAGACAGUGCUAGGUGGGCAGUUUGACUGGGGCGGUCGCCUCCGAAAGAGUAACGGAGGCGUUCAAAGGUUCUCUCAGGUUGGAUGGAAAUCAACCAUAGAGUGCAAUGGCAUAAGAGAGCUUGACUGCAAGACUGACGGGUCGAGCAGAUGCGAAAGCAGGACAUAGUGAUCCGGCGAUUCCGAAUGGAAGGGUCGUCGCUCAACGGAUAAAAGCUACCCUGGGGAUAACAGGCUGAUCCUACCCGAGAGUCCAUAUCGACGGUAGGGUUUGGCACCUCGAUGUCGGCUCAUCGCAUCCUGGGGCUGGAGAAGGUCCCAAGGGUUGGGCUGUUCGCCCAUUAAAGCGGUACGUGAGCUGGGUUCAGAACGUCGUGAGACAGUUCGGUCCCUAUCCACUGUAGGCGUUAGAAUAUUGAGAAGACCUGUCCUUAGUACGAGAGGACCGGGAUGGACAAACCUCUGAUGUACCAGUUGUCACGCCAGUGGCACAGCUGGGUAGUCACGUUUGGAAUAGAUAAUCGCUGAAAGCAUCUAAGCGAGAAACUAACUUCAAGAUAAGUAUUCUUUAAGAUACCUUUGAGACUAGGAGGUUGAUAGGUUGGGGGUGUAAGUACAGCAAUGUAUUUAGCUGACCAAUACUAAUUAUCGAAGUUUUAAUCUA